This 578-nucleotide small RNA is filed under the name Pongo abelii (Sumatran orangutan). RNAcentral's name for it is "processed transcript". The record is from RNAcentral. Lineage: Eukaryota; Metazoa; Chordata; Mammalia; Primates; Hominidae.
AUGUCACCCUUACUCACCAUGGACAGCUCCUCCAUCACUUCUUCAAGGAAGGUAGCUAAUUCAGGAAGAAAAAGAAUCUACAGAGUUGCGUGCUGAAGAAAUUGAAAAUAGAGUGGCUAGUGUGAGCCUCGAAGGCCUGAAUUUGGCGAGGGUCCACCCAGGUACCUCCAUUACUGCCUCUGUUACAGCUUCAUCGCUGGCCAGUUCAUCUCCCCCCAGUGGACACUCAACUCCAAAGCUCACCCCUCGAAGCCCUGCCAGGGAAAUGGAUCGGAUGGGAGUCAUGACACUGCCAAGUGAUCUAAGGAAACAUCGGAGAAAGAUUGCAGUUGUGGAAGAAGAUGGUCGAGAGGACAAAGCAACAAUUAAAUGUGAAACUUCUCCUCCUCCUACCCCUAGAGCCCUCAGAAUGACUCACACUCUCCCUUCUUCCUACCACAAUGAUGCUCGAAGUAGUUUAUCUGUCUCUCUUGAGCCAGAAAGCCUUGGGCUUGGUAGUGCCAACAGCAGCCAAGACUCUCUUCACAAAGCCCCCAAGAAGAAAGGAAUAAAGUCUUCAAUAGGACGUUUGUUUGGUA